This 250-nucleotide unclassified non-coding RNA is filed under the name uncultured fungus. RNAcentral describes it as "partial contains 5.8S ribosomal RNA, internal transcribed spacer 2, and large subunit ribosomal RNA". Lineage: Eukaryota; Fungi. The record is from RNAcentral.
AACGCACAUUGCGCCCCUUGGUAUUCCAUGGGGCAUGCCUGUUCGAGCGUCAUUUACACCCUCAAGCUUUGCUUGGUGUUGGGCGUCUGUCUACGGACUCGCCCCAAAGGUAUUGGCAGCGGUCCUGCCGGGCCUCCUAAUCGCGCAGCACUGUUCGCGCUUCUUGGAGCCUGUGCGGAUUUUGCAUCCAUCAAGCCCACCUUUUUUUUAACUUGACCUCGAAUCAGGUAGGGAUACCCGCUGAACUUAA